This 376-nucleotide unclassified non-coding RNA is filed under the name uncultured Actinomycetes bacterium. Its description in RNAcentral is "uncultured actinobacterium contains 16S-23S intergenic spacer region". Lineage: Bacteria; Bacillati; Actinomycetota; Actinomycetes. The record is from RNAcentral.
UCCGCUUUACAGCGGCAGUUUGUUCCGAGUCCCCGACUUUACUCGCUGGUAACAGAACAUGAGGGUUGCGCUCGUUGCGGGACUUAACCCAACAUUUCACAACACGAGCUGACGACAGCCAUGCACCACCUGUACACCAGUAUCAAAGAGACCACUAUCUCUAGCAGCUUCCGGUGUAUGUCAAACCCAGGUAAGGUUCUUCGCGUUGCAUCGAAUUAAUCCGCAUGCUCCGCUGCUUGUGCGGGCCCCCGUCAAUUCCUUUGAGUUUUAGCCUUGCGGCCGUACUCCCCAGGCGGGGCACUUAGUGCGUUAGCGACGGCACGGGAGGAGUCGACACCUCCCACACCUAGUGCCCAUCGUUUACGGCGUGGACUAC